AUAAUGUUAUUCAGAUUUGGAACUGAAGAGCUGAUAAAGCAAGUGUCUUGAAGCAAGCGAAAUGUGACCUCUUUCAUUUAUUGUAUCGUGUAUAUUAUAAUUCCAAAACAGUAGGCACGGAAUUCUCAGAAAUGACUGACGUUUUUGCCUUAAUUUGUUUCGUGCAGUGGCGUACAGAAAUUAUACUAAAUAGAUGAGGAAAAAUAUAUAGAAUCACCACCUGUCAAAAAUGUUUUCAACAGUAAUACCACUAGAGGUCAAAUUAUCUCUCAUGAAUAUUUUGAAAAUUUCCCGAGUCGUAGAUGGAAGAAAUUCAUGAGCGAGAUUGUUGCGUUGCUAUGGUAACUAAGUAAUUUCUACUAAUUGUAGUUGCAUGGGAAUAUCAUUCCAUUAGAGAAAAUAGUAAAUUCUUCAAUUUUACAUAAGUUUUGAGUAACUACAAGUGGUAGAAAUUUGUUUUUUUUUGCGUUUUCAUUAUUGUGGGUUAUGCGCGCUUUAAUGGUAUGGAAUUCAUAACCAGCGUCAGCAAGCAUUACAUAUAGAAGUCUGUGAGCAUUGUAUUUGACAGUUCAAAACAUCAAAAAAACUCGUGUUUUGUUGCGAUAAAGAAUAUUGCACAGCCAGUAAAACCAACAAAAUUCUGUGUUU
Molecule: long non-coding RNA, 648 nt
Organism: Leptinotarsa decemlineata (Colorado potato beetle)
Lineage: Eukaryota; Metazoa; Arthropoda; Insecta; Coleoptera; Chrysomelidae
Source: RefSeq, a predicted model, not a curated record